CAAGCACAGAUGUCUUAGCAAGGUAUUUCCAAGCAAGGCAGAUAGCCAAGGGACAGAAGGUUAUAUGUAGACAAUCCAAGUAAUGAAGUAUUCUUAGGUAUAGGGAAUAAUAAUGCAGCCAAAAAAAAUUAAAAAGGCUCACACAGAAAGGCAUAGUUUCUUUUAGUUAAAUGAAAUACAUUUAAAUACUGUGUUCACAUAACGUUCUGGCUGGGUUAGUUGUAUGAAAAACAAAAGAGUGCCAAAGUCAAGUCAUAGAUUGCACAUAUUGUCCAGAAAAAUAGAGUAAAAAUGCCAAUUCUGCCUUAAUGUGCCUAAAGCAAUACUGCUGUAAACACGCAAAGAUAAUCUGUGGCAAAAAUAUUGUAUGCAGCUCUCAUAUCUCUGAAGGUUUCAAGGUGCCAUCGCGUGCUGGUGCACCUGUGCCGUAGCCCUCAGCACGUCCAUCAUCACCCCCAGAGCCAGGCAUGGUGCCACCUGGCUGUGUGUGCAGAGGGUGAGUAAGAGAAAGCU
RNAcentral lists this long non-coding RNA (513 nucleotides) under Anas zonorhyncha (Eastern spot-billed duck). RNAcentral's name for it is "lncRNA (ENSAZOG00000018522.1)". The record is from RNAcentral. Lineage: Eukaryota; Metazoa; Chordata; Aves; Anseriformes; Anatidae.